AAAUAUGUAUUUUGAGUCGAUAUUAAAUCUUUUAUGAAGUUUCAAAUAUUAUAAAUAUUUGAACUUUAUAAGAAUUUAUAAGAAGUAUAAACAUUAUAAAUAUUUACAACAAAUACAAUUAUGUAAUACUAAUUUUAUUUUGAAGUCUUUAAACAUUAUAAUGUUCUUGGUCAACCAGUCCGAGUCUUUAAUCUUAAAUACUAAACAAAACAAAUACAACUUAAAAUUUAAUAUUUUUUCAAAAACGCAUCUCGAUUCUUUUAUAAGAAGUUUAAACAUUAUAAAUAUUUAAACUUUAUACUACGGGUGAAAUCCUAAAAUUGACGGUUUUGGAUUGAUAUUAUUACGGGAUAAUAUAGUACGGGUGAAAUCCUAGAAUUUACAAUCAAAUAAAAUUAACAAAACAAAUAUAACUUAAAAUUUUUAGUUAUAAAAUAUCAUUUCGCGAUGUACUAUACAUUUAAAUCAAACAAAACAACAUCAUAUAUCUAUAGAUCAUCUUAAAAAAAC
Molecule: long non-coding RNA, 510 nt
Filed under: Arabidopsis lyrata
Lineage: Eukaryota; Viridiplantae; Streptophyta; Magnoliopsida; Brassicales; Brassicaceae
Description: long non-coding RNA (ALYR_LNC001450)
Source: RNAcentral